Molecule: RNA transcript, 2727 nt
Organism: Aedes albopictus (Asian tiger mosquito)
Lineage: Eukaryota; Metazoa; Arthropoda; Insecta; Diptera; Culicidae
Gene name: solute carrier family 25 member 32
Exons: 7
Source: RefSeq, a predicted model, not a curated record
CAAACGCACGGGCAUCAUCCGAUCACGAGUCAGUUGCUUCGCUACCCAGCCCAGCUGCUCACCUGCACUCUGUUUUCGUCCUCGCUUCGGUGCGAGUGUCUGUGUGUGUGCGUGUAACUCCAUGCGCACGGGGCGGGCGACACACAACACGCCAUCCAGCCAGGCAGGACACAGGCGAAGCAGCAGCAGAGCAGAGAGAGCAGUAGUAAUACAACAACAACGACGAAGCAUUCAUCAGUCAUCAGAGCGUGGUGGAAGUUGUCAAGAGUCGAAGUAAGCGAAGCCAAGUGAAGUGCGUUCAGUUUUUUUGCCCCUGCGGAAGAAUCCACAUCACAAUCGCAGCAACCGUUGCCAUCGUCAUCAUCCGACAAUCUUUCCUGAUUUGGGUUGGUGCUCCUCCAUGUUGUUGUCAGCAAGUGAGCAACAUAAAGAAAAUCGAUAAGCAACCUUGAAAAGCCAGAGCCUGCUGCGGAGUUCGCGUGGUGUCAUUCGUGCGGGAAGCAAAAUUAUUCGCCAUUUCGUGUGCUUCGAGAGGUGUCUCCUCUUUCGUGCAGUUGCCAAGGAAGAAGAUCUACGGAAUUUAAUCCAUUUCCGUUCGGAAUUUCAAUUAAUUUUUGUGACUUAGUGCCAGUGCUCGCAAAAUGUGCAAAACGCCACUGACUGCAGACGUAGAAGUAUCUGCCCUCGUUAGCGAAAAGACUGCGUUUACGUCAUAUUUCUGUGCCCUUAUCAGUCGCUGAAUGGCUGCUGAAAGUUGUCCGAAAAAAAUCCGAACCCGUGAAGUGCUGCACCGUGACCGUUGUUGUCAAUCUGCUACGAACUAUCGUCGUCGUGGUUUGCCUAUUUGACCCUCCCACCCCCGUCGUCGAAAAGGGGAGGGCCACCGUAUAGGUCAUCGUGUUCGCUUCCAUUUGGAUUUUUUCCCUUCCUGUAUAUAUUGUACAUAGGCGAGCCGCAAAUUGUUUCCCUUCUCUAAACAAUAACAAAAGAAGAUUGAUUCCCUUCGAGGAAAGACAGAACGAAAGAUAAAUCGCGAACGGAGGAGACACAUCGCUUCGUUGGAAAUUUUCUAAUAAUAAUAGUAAUAAAUUCACAACGUAUAUCAACACGAAUCACGCACACUCAGAGCAUCACAACAUCACCAGUUAUUCCAGAGACGGACAGACAGACAGAGGUGGAGUGAGAGAAAGCCACCCAAUCGCGUCAUAUCAACUAAAGAGCCGAGUAUUUAGCAACAGAAAACAUUGAACGAGCAGCUCUAGGCCAGUCGAGCUUACCGCAGCAGUGAGUGAGAGAGAGUAACGAAGAAACCAGAGACCAGAACGGACAUCAUAGCACAACCCGUCUCGCCGUUUCAGGUGCGACAAAGAUAAGCAACAAAAUUGCGCCAAACGAUAAGACUCAACCGCAGCAGACCAAAUCGUCAUCGUCGUCAGAAAAAGAAAUGGCAUCGGCCCUCAAAAGUCCCACGGCACCGGCCGGGGCCGGAGGUGGCAAGUUCAGCUGGAUGGCCCACGUCAAGUACGAACACCUGAUGGCCGGAGUUUCCGGCGGAGUUACGUCCACGCUGUUACUGCAUCCACUGGAUCUGAUCAAAAUUCGCUUCGCAGUAAAUGACGGCCGAACGGCAACGUUGCCGCAGUACCGAGGCCUCUCGGGUGCGUUCCUGACCAUCUUCCGCCAGGAGGGUUUCCGAGGACUGUACAAAGGCGUCACGCCGAACAUUUGGGGCUCCGGAAGUGCUUGGGGAUUUUACUUCUUGUUUUACAACUCCAUCAAAACGUGGAUCCAGGAUGGUAACACGGCGCAACCGUUGGGCCCAGCACUGCACAUGCUGGCGGCAGCCGAAGCCGGCGUCCUGACCCUGGUGAUGACCAAUCCCAUCUGGGUGGUAAAGACACGACUGUGCCUGCAGUUUAACGAACCGGGCCAGAAGGGCUACGCCGGCAUGGUGGACGGGCUGAAGAAGAUCUACCGAACCGAGGGCAUCCGGGGGUUGUACAGUGGAUUCGUACCUGGCAUGUUGGGAGUGUCACAUGGGGCACUGCAGUUCAUGACGUACGAAGAGAUGAAGAAUCGGUACAACCAGAACCGGAAGCGGCCCAUCGAUGCGAAAUUGACCACCGUAGAGUAUUUGACGUUUGCCGCCGUCUCGAAGCUUAUCGCCGCUGCAGCCACCUAUCCAUACCAGGUGAUACGGGCCCGCCUGCAAGAUCAGAACCACAGCUACAAGGGCACCUGGGACUGCAUCAAGCUGACAUGGAGGUACGAAAGGGUGUCAGGGUUUUACAAGGGCCUCAUGCCGUACUUAGUCCACGUGACGCCCAACAUCUGCCUCGUGAUGCUGAUCUAUGAGCAAUUCACCAAGCACUAGCAGCAGCACCACGGUGCAGUAUAGUAGUCGUCGUCGGCAGUCGGUUCAGAAGACAGUGUGAGAUGACUCAUGGCGAAUAAGAAAAGAAAAACUGAAACAGAGAUUCUCUCCUCUCUUAGGCUGUCCUGAGUAAUAUAUACUUAAAUUUGAAUCGUGGCGUGGCUUCUAUAAGGGGCUCGGUCCGAACUUGUUGCGCGUAACGCCGGCGACGAUGGUAACGUUCGUUACGUACGAGAACGUUUCGCGCUAUCUGUUGGACUUCAGAAAGUCGUAGUUUAGAAGCCACUUGAAGCGGCUUACCUAGCUUUACCUCAAACCUUAUCCUAUGUGUACACAAUCAGUUCAAGUAGGUA